UUGGAUGAAUUAAAUUCAAUAGGUUUAAUU
This 30-nucleotide non-coding RNA is filed under the name Mus musculus (house mouse). The record is from RNAcentral. Lineage: Eukaryota; Metazoa; Chordata; Mammalia; Rodentia; Muridae.